CACAAGGGGAUUGGAUCAACUCAGUUCAAAAUUAGAUCAGCUUAGUAAUUGUGUGAGCAUGAUUCAAAUCUAAAAAAUCUUACAUAAUCUUAAAAUAAAAUUAAUCAUAAAUACCUUUUAGAUUAUAUCUAAAAUUUUUAUGAUUUGAGAUUUUAUUUUUUCAUAAUUCAAAUAAUUCUAAUCAUAUAGAUUAGAUGUCUUACAU
This 205-nucleotide long non-coding RNA is filed under the name Elaeis guineensis (African oil palm). RNAcentral describes it as "long non-coding RNA (EGUI_LNC048854)". Lineage: Eukaryota; Viridiplantae; Streptophyta; Magnoliopsida; Arecales; Arecaceae. The record is from RNAcentral.